ACGACGCACUGGUGGACACGGACCCCAGACCUGAACAGAGGUCGGACCGCAUUCUUCUACAAGGAUACACAGAAUAUUGCAUAAAGAUUCCAUGAGUCACGUGCCGUCUCUCUGCCGCAAGUGUGCAUUAACCCACGUGAAUGAAAAUCAGCUUGAAUUGAAUGAGACUAUAAGCCCCAACGUGGGGGCCCAUAUCAUUUAACUUUUCUCCAGGCCAGCACGGGCCUUUGUGUAAAUAAAUAGUUUUAAAGUAA
This is a long non-coding RNA of Macrobrachium nipponense, 254 nucleotides long. RefSeq lists it as uncharacterized. The record is from RefSeq and is a predicted model, not a curated record. The transcript has 2 exons. Lineage: Eukaryota; Metazoa; Arthropoda; Malacostraca; Decapoda; Palaemonidae.